AAAGAUCACAAAAGUUAUAUACACAUACAAGAAAAAGAACUAAAUCAAUCAUCAUUUAAGCCGUUACUUUAUUUAAAUAAAAAAACACAAAAACUUGAAAUCAUAUACUUUAUAUGAUAAAUUUAAAAUCUAUAUUAGUAGUAUAAAUUUAAAAUCAUUCAAGGGACGGUAUACCACAUGUGAGAUCCUAAAAUUAUUGGAUUUAUAAUAAUAAUAAUUUAUUUUUCUUGGAUUUUAUAACAUUAAU
RNAcentral lists this small RNA (247 nucleotides) under Arabidopsis thaliana (thale cress). RNAcentral describes it as "ATSL021050". The record is from RNAcentral. Lineage: Eukaryota; Viridiplantae; Streptophyta; Magnoliopsida; Brassicales; Brassicaceae.